GAGGAGUCCGCGGCCGAUUAGCUUGUUGGUAGGGUAACGGCCUACCAAGGCCAAGAUCGGUAGCCGGCCUGAGAGGGCACACGGCCACACUGGCACUGAAACACGGGCCAGACUCCUACGGGAGGCAGCAGUGGGGAAUCUUGCACAAUGGGGGAAACCCUGAUGCAGCGACGCCGCGUGAGCGAUGAAGCCCUUCGGGGUGUAAAGCUCUUUCGGCAGGGAAGAUGAUGACGGUACCUGCAGAAGCAGCUGCGGCUAACUACGUGCCAGCAGCCGCGGUAAUACGUAGGCAGCAAGCGUUGUUCGGAGUUACUGGGCGUAAAGGGUGUGUAGGCGGUCCUCUAAGUCUGGUGUGAAAUCUCCCGGCUCAACUGGGAGGGUGCGCCGGAAACUGGAGGGCUUGGAGUGCGGGAUGGGAAAGUGGAAUUCCUGGUGUAGCGGUGAAAUGCGUAGAUAUCAGGAGG
Molecule: ribosomal RNA, 464 nt
Filed under: uncultured Acidobacteriota bacterium
Lineage: Bacteria; Pseudomonadati; Acidobacteriota
Description: bacterial SSU rRNA
Rfam family: Bacterial small subunit ribosomal RNA
Source: RNAcentral